Molecule: ribosomal RNA, 958 nt
Filed under: uncultured bacterium
Lineage: Bacteria
Description: bacterial SSU rRNA
Rfam family: Bacterial small subunit ribosomal RNA
Source: RNAcentral
UCGGAAUUACUGGGCGUAAAGCGUUCGUAGGCGGUUAGUUAAGCUAGAUGUGAAAGCCCCGGGCUAAACCUGGGAACUGCAUUUAAAACUGGCUAACUAGAGUUUAGGAGAGGGAAGUGGAAUUUCAGGUGUAGCAGUGAAAUGCGUAGAGAUCUGAAGGAACACCAGUGGCGAAGGCGACUUCCUGGACUAAAACUGACGCUGAGGAACGAAAGCGUGGGUAGCAAACGGGAUUAGAUACCCCGGUAGUCCACGCCGUAAACGAUGUCAACUAGCCGUUGGGCCUAUAUACAGGUUUAGUGGCGGAGCUAACGUAUUAAGUUGACCGCCUGGGGAGUACGGCCGCAAGGUUAAAACUCAAAUGAAUUGACGGGGGCCCGCACAAGCGGUGGAGCAUGUGGUUUAAUUCGAUGCAACGCGAAGAACCUUACCUACCCUUGACAUCCAGAGAAUCUGUUAGAGAUAGUAGAGUGCCUUAGGGAACUCUGAGACAGGUGCUGCAUGGCUGUCGUCAGCUCGUGUCGUGAGAUGUUGGGUUAAGUCCUGUAACGAGCGCAACCCUUAUCCUUAGUUGCUAGCAGGUCAAGCUGAGAACUCUAAGGAGACUGCCGGUGAUAAACCGGAGGAAGGUGGGGACGACGUCAAGUCAUCAUGGCCCUUAUGGGUAGGGCUACACACGUGCUACAAUGGUCGGUACAGAGGGCCGCAAACUCGCGAGAGUAAGCUAAUCCCAGAAAGCCGAUCUUAGUCCGGAUUGGAGUCUGCAACUCGACUCCAUGAAGUUGGAAUCGCUAGUAAUCGCGAAUCAGAACGUCGCGGUGAAUACGUUCCCGGGCCUUGUACACACCGCCCGUCACACCAUGGGAGUGGGUUGCAAAAGAAGUGGGUAGUCUAACCUUCGGGAGGGCGCUCACCACUUUGUGAUUCAUGACUGGGGUGAAGUCGUAACAAGGUAACC